Non-coding RNA from Paramuricea clavata, 111 nucleotides. The record is from the annotation of a GenBank genome assembly. NCBI's taxonomy places the organism in Eukaryota, Metazoa, Cnidaria, Anthozoa, Malacalcyonacea, Plexauridae.
GCUUAAGAGAAAUUUGUUUCUAUGUCUGCAUUUCGACAAAAGUUCACUUCUUUAAAUUCAAGAAGUGAACUUUUGUCGAAAUGCAGACAUACAAUCACUUUCAAAAGUUGU